Molecule: non-coding RNA, 95 nt
Organism: Ceratotherium simum simum (southern white rhinoceros)
Lineage: Eukaryota; Metazoa; Chordata; Mammalia; Perissodactyla; Rhinocerotidae
Source: RefSeq, a predicted model, not a curated record
UGCAAAGAAAGUGAGAGGAUGGUGCAAAAAGACCAGGCAGGGUUCCACUCUGCUGUACCCAGGGUCACUAGGAGCUGGAAUGUACUCGAUGGCAC